Cervus elaphus (red deer) is the source of this 72-nucleotide non-coding RNA. NCBI's taxonomy places the organism in Eukaryota, Metazoa, Chordata, Mammalia, Artiodactyla, Cervidae. The record is from the annotation of a RefSeq genome assembly.
UCCCUGGUGGCUCAGUCGGUAAAGCGUCUGCCUACCAUGCUGGAGACCUGGGUUCGAUUCCUGGCUCGGGAA